GACGAACGCUGGCGGCGUGCUUAACACAUGCAAGUCGAACGGAAAGGCCUCUUUCGGGGGGUACUCGAGUGGCGAACGGGUGAGUAACACGUGAGUAACCUGCCCUUGACUUUGGGAUAACUUCAGGAAACUGGGGCUAAUACCGGAUAGGAGCUCCUGCUGCAUGGUGGGGGUUGGAAAGUUUCGGCGGUUGGGGAUGGACUCGCGGCUUAUCAGCUUGUUGGUGGGGUAGUGGCUUACCAAGGCUUUGACGGGUAGCCGGCCUGAGGGGGUGACCGGCCACAUUGGGACUGAGAUACGGCCCAGACUCCUACGGGAGGCAGCAGGGGGGAAUAUUGCACAAUGGGUGGAAGCCUGAUGCAGCAACGCCGUGGGCGGGAUGACGGCCUUCGGGUUGUAAACCGCUUUCGCUCAUGACGAAGCUUUGUGUGACGGUAGUGGGUAAAGAAGCACCGGCUAACUACGUG
RNAcentral lists this ribosomal RNA (467 nucleotides) under uncultured bacterium. Its description in RNAcentral is "partial 16S ribosomal RNA". It matches the Rfam family "Bacterial small subunit ribosomal RNA", at positions 28 to 507 of the family's 1533-position model. The record is from RNAcentral.